Molecule: ribosomal RNA, 497 nt
Filed under: uncultured bacterium
Lineage: Bacteria
Description: partial 16S ribosomal RNA
Rfam family: Bacterial small subunit ribosomal RNA
Source: RNAcentral
ACUCAAAUGAAUUGACGGGGGCCCGCACAAGCGGCGGAGCAUGUUGCUUAAUUCGAUGCAACGCGAAAAACCUCACCUAGGUUUGACAUGCUGGGAAAAGCCACAGAGAUGUGGUGUCCUUCGGGGUCCAGCACAGGUGGUGCAUGGCUGUCGUCAGCUCGUGUCGUGAGAUGUUGGGUUAAGUCCCGCAACGAGCGCAACCCUUGUCCUGUGUUGCCAGCGGAUUAUGCCGGGGACUCACAGGAGACUGCCGGGGUCAACUCGGAGGAAGGUGGGGACGACGUCAAGUCAUCAUGCCCCUUACGUCUAGGGCUGCAAACAUGCUACAAUGGCUGGUACAACGGGCUGCGAACUCGCGAGAGUAAGCGAAUCCCUUAAAGCCAGUCUCAGUUCGGAUUGGAGUCUGCAACUCGACUCCAUGAAGCUGGAGUCGCUAGUAAUCCCGGAUCAGCAUUGCCGGGGUGAAUACGUUCCCGGGCCUUGUACACACCGCCCGU